RNAcentral lists this ribosomal RNA (497 nucleotides) under uncultured bacterium. RNAcentral describes it as "bacterial SSU rRNA". It matches the Rfam family "Bacterial small subunit ribosomal RNA", at positions 30 to 518 of the family's 1533-position model. The record is from RNAcentral.
UUGAACGCUGGCGGCAGGCUUAACACAUGCAAGUCGAGCGGGGAAAUGUAGCUUGCUACAUUACCUAGCGGCGGACGGGUGAGUAAUGCUUAGGAAUCUGCCUAUUAGUGGGGGACAACAUUUCGAAAGGAAUGCUAAUACCGCAUACGCCUACGGGGGAAAGCAGGGGAUCUUCGGACCUUGCGCUAAUAGAUGAGCCUAAGUCGGAUUAGCUAGUUGGUGGGGUAAAAGGCCUACCAAGGCGACGAUCUGUAGCGGGUCUGAGAGGAUGAUCCGCCACACUGGGACUGAGACACGGCCCAGACUCCUACGGGAGGCAGCAGUGGGGAAUAUUGGACAAUGGGGGGAACCCUGAUCCAGCCAUGCCGCGUGUGUGAAGAAGGGCCCUUUUGGUUGUAAAGCACUUUAAGCGAGGAGGAGGCUACCUAGAUUAAUACUCUAGGAUAGUGGACGUUACUCGCAGAAUAAGCACCGGCUAACUCUGUGCCAGCAGCAGC